AUCAACAGAUAGGAAACAGGUGUGUGUAUGUUUCUCUAGACGGUAUAUUAACUCGGCUUUGAACUAGUCCACUCAGAACCGAUACCAGGACUCCUAAUAACUACUGCAGAACAACCUGUUGUGAUCAUGCUGUUUGUCUGGUUUUGCGUUUUUGUUUCUGCUUUCACCGGCCGCUUUGUAACUGGACAAUCUCCUCCUCCUCUGCCUCCCGGUAGCCCACAAGAAGUCCCGGUGAACCGCACUGAUGUUUUAGAAGCGGCACAGUUUGCUGUGGUUGAAUUCAACAAAGCCAACACAGAAGACCUGUUUAAUUACGCAAUUCUGGACAUAACAUCGGCUCAAGUUCAGGUUGUUGAUGGAUCGAAACCAACCUC
Long non-coding RNA from Etheostoma spectabile (orangethroat darter), 374 nucleotides. RefSeq lists it as uncharacterized. The transcript has 3 exons. The record is from RefSeq and is a predicted model, not a curated record. Lineage: Eukaryota; Metazoa; Chordata; Actinopteri; Perciformes; Percidae.